RNAcentral lists this long non-coding RNA (502 nucleotides) under Monodelphis domestica (gray short-tailed opossum). RNAcentral describes it as "lncRNA (ENSMODG00000042793.1)". The record is from RNAcentral. Lineage: Eukaryota; Metazoa; Chordata; Mammalia; Didelphimorphia; Didelphidae.
GAGUUAUAAAGAAAGCUUUUUACCCUGAUGAUCUCAGAUGUUGUAGAUGGAGUUAAUCCAUCAUUCUCUAGUUUAGACAAGUGCUACUAGUCCCACCGUCAGGAAAGAGGCAGCUGUUGCUUAUUACUAUUAUGAGGACAGCAGAUGAUCCCCAUUUUUGUGAGGGUUUUUUUUUCUACUAUAAAAACAGAACUUUCUGGUGUCUGGGAUGCUGACCCUGGACUUGAGGUGCUGUGAUGGCUGUGUGGACAGAAGGGAGGCCAAGAGACCCAGAGCUAUCACUAACACAGAACUUCCAGGAAUUUGUUUGCAGAGAAUUUACAUACUAUCAAGGCGCACAUUUCUUCUCCUAAAGGGAAAGAAGAGGAAGGAGAAUUCAAAUGUGCCUUGUUAUAAAGUGGGGGAAUUAAAAAGGAAAGGUAUCACAAAGGAUGAGUGAAAACUGGAAGACAUUAACAAAUUUAAGAAUAAACAGAACUUUGGCAAUAAUUAUUUUCUUGCC